UACGGAGGGAGCUAGCGUUAUUCGGAAUUACUGGGCGUAAAGCGCACGUAGGCGGCUUUGUAAGUAAGAGGUGAAAGCCCGGAGCUCAACUCCGGAACUGCCUUUUAGACUGCAUCGCUUGAAUCCAGGAGAGGUGAGUGGAAUUCCGAGUGUAGAGGUGAAAUGCGUAGAUAUCGGAAGGAACACCAGUGGCGAAAGCGGCUUCCUGGUCCAGCACCGACGUUCAGGCACGAAAGCGUGGGGAGCAAACAGG
RNAcentral lists this ribosomal RNA (253 nucleotides) under uncultured bacterium. RNAcentral's name for it is "partial 16S ribosomal RNA". It matches the Rfam family "Bacterial small subunit ribosomal RNA", at positions 524 to 776 of the family's 1533-position model. The record is from RNAcentral.